Prunus persica (peach) is the source of this 84-nucleotide small nucleolar RNA. The record is from Rfam. Lineage: Eukaryota; Viridiplantae; Streptophyta; Magnoliopsida; Rosales; Rosaceae.
AACAAUGAUACAUGCAUUGGGCUUGGAGCAGUUUAUGACUGCAGCCAUUGAUGGAAAUGCAACCUAGAAAGCUAUAUAUGACCC